Molecule: ribosomal RNA, 483 nt
Filed under: Tulasnella sp.
Lineage: Eukaryota; Fungi; Basidiomycota; Agaricomycetes; Cantharellales; Tulasnellaceae
Description: partial large subunit ribosomal RNA
Rfam family: Bacterial large subunit ribosomal RNA
Source: RNAcentral
AUACUUGUAAAGGAACUCGGCAAACUGUCUUCAUAAGUUAGACGAUAUGAAGAACCAUUAAAUAUUUAUAACCCUUUCAGGUAGUCUUUUAGAUUACCUGUUAGUUUCCCUGUUGUCCUAGUCUCUGCCCUAGCCUUCUGGGCUGGGUGUGGCCAGGUCGCAGUGAUAUUAAAUAUGUAAGAAUGGUGGCACAAAAUCGGAGGCCCCGACUGUUUACCUAAAACACAGCUUUCUGCUACGAAUAAUAUUCUGUGUAUAGAAAGCGAAUUUUGCCCAAUGCCAUUAAUAUAAGGUUGAUAAGCGCAUAGCGUAUUUAUUAACUGAAGUUCUGGUCAAUGGCGGUCUUAUCUAUGAGGAUCCUAAGGUAGCAAAAUUAAUUGUCCAUUAAAUGUGGUCCUGACUGAAUAAAGUAACGAUGGUCUCACUGUCUCUACAAGUAUCUCAGUGAAAUUGAAUUAGCCGUGCAGAUGCGGUUUAACUUCG